This 450-nucleotide ribosomal RNA is filed under the name uncultured bacterium. Its description in RNAcentral is "partial 16S ribosomal RNA". It matches the Rfam family "Bacterial small subunit ribosomal RNA", at positions 354 to 796 of the family's 1533-position model. The record is from RNAcentral.
GUGGGGAAUUUUGGACAAUGGGCGCAAGCCUGAUCCAGCAAUGCCGCGUGCAGGAAGAAGGCCUUCGGGUUGUAAACUGCUUUUGUACGGAACGAAACGGUCCUGGUUAAUACCCGGGGCUAAUGACGGUACCGUAAGAAUAAGCACCGGCUAACUACGUGCCAGCAGCCUCGGUAAUACGUAGGGUGCAAGCGUUAAUCGGAAUUACUGGGCGUAAAGCGUGCGCAGGCGGUGCUGUAAGACAGGCGUGAAAUCCCCGGGCUUAACCUGGGAAUUGCGCUUGUGACUGCAGUGCUGGAGUGCGGCAGAGGGGGAUGGAAUUCCGCGUGUAGCAGUGAAAUGCGUAGAUAUGCGGAGGAACACCGAUGGCGAAGGCAAUCCCCUGGGCCUGCACUGACGCUCAUGCAAGAAAGCGUGGGGAGCAAACAGGAUUAGAUACCCCAGUAGUCC